AACGCACCUUGCGCCUCUUGGUAUUCCGAGAGGCAUGCCUGUUUGAGUGUCAUGAAACAUCAAUCCCACGGGUUUCUUACCUGUGUGGACUUGGACCUGGGCGUCUGCCUCACAAGGCUCGCCUCAAAUGACUCAGUGGGAACUUCUUGACCUACGCCCGACGUAAUAAGUUUCGUCACGGCCGGUCCUGAGGCCCGCUCACAACACCCCAUAUUUUUGACAUUGACCUCAAAUCAGGUAGGGCUACCCGCUGAACUUAA
Molecule: unclassified non-coding RNA, 260 nt
Filed under: uncultured fungus
Lineage: Eukaryota; Fungi
Description: partial contains 5.8S ribosomal RNA, internal transcribed spacer 2, and large subunit ribosomal RNA
Rfam family: 5.8S ribosomal RNA (bases 1-52)
Source: RNAcentral